GUACCAUCACAUUUUUCACGAUUUGUGCGUAUAAUGUGCCCAUACAGAUGCAGAUUAAACAUUUUCCUUGAGAGGAAUCCGUCUCGAUAAAAGGAAAAAGGCAAUAUUUAACCAUGUAGAAGAGAUCACUAGACUAAAAAGACAACUAGACAUUCAAGUUAGACGAACUACACAACAUAUGAAACCAAAAGAGACAACAUAUAUAGGGCCUGUCCAGACUACAUGGUCCCCAUAACGAUAGUACCUAGCUUAAGAUAAUAUAAACUAGAAAGCUGAAACACAAUAGUACAUCCUAGGAACUAGACACAUGAGAAAGAAAAAGACCCUUUUAUUAACACAGGGAAGAGGACCAAAGGAUUAAAAGACUAUUGUGUUCAACUAGUUUAGCUCUUGGUCUUGUACUUUGAUUCGUCUAUCUCUACUCCUUCUCGCUGCGCACGCUCCCCACCGGUCUCUUCGCCGGUGCUCAAACCUCCCUUGCGUCCCAUUUCCUGGUAGCCUUCCGUUCCCAACUGCUCCUUUCUCGUCUGCCCUCCACGGCUCCUCCCUUGUAAAACAAAAAUAGCAGUACAUAUGCAGUUAAGGAGAAGAAAAUGAGUACCAAAAAGUAAAACAGUAUGUUGAUAUAUACCCUCAGCAAGGUGUUCCUGAGCUUCAAGACUUUUCCCACCUGUGCCACCUGGAACUACAGUUUCUCCUUCUUUUGCCCUACGGUCGAGCUCAGACCUUUCUUGCUGUGAUGCCAUAAUUUCUUGUUCCUUUGUUGUGGACAUACACAAAGCAAAGUGCGGUUUUUAGUACGAUAUUCACUUACCG
This 816-nucleotide long non-coding RNA is filed under the name Nicotiana tabacum (common tobacco). RNAcentral's name for it is "long non-coding RNA (NTAB_LNC003938)". The record is from RNAcentral. Lineage: Eukaryota; Viridiplantae; Streptophyta; Magnoliopsida; Solanales; Solanaceae.